This 51-nucleotide small RNA is filed under the name chicken gut metagenome. Its description in RNAcentral is "Streptococcus sRNA SpF59 (ldcC RNA)". It matches the Rfam family "Streptococcus sRNA SpF59 (ldcC RNA)". The record is from RNAcentral.
GACCACCCCCGCUUAGGGUCAAGGCCAUACGGACAGCCGGGUCGAAUGCCG